RNAcentral lists this ribosomal RNA (497 nucleotides) under uncultured bacterium. RNAcentral's name for it is "partial 16S ribosomal RNA". It matches the Rfam family "Bacterial small subunit ribosomal RNA", at positions 28 to 507 of the family's 1533-position model. The record is from RNAcentral.
GAUGAACGCUGGCGGCGUGCCUAAUACAUGCAAGUCGAGCGAACAGACGAGGAGCUUGUUCCUCACACGUUAGCGGCGCACGGGUGAGUACCCUGUGGAUAACCUCACUAUCUGACUGCGAUAACUACGGGAACCCGGGGUUAAUAGCGGAUAAUAUAAUGCGCCGCAUGGGUCGAUCGUGACAGACGGUCUUGCUGUUACUUCUAGAUGGAUCCGCGCCGCAUUAGCUAGUUGGUAAGGAAACGGCUUACCAGGGCAACGAUGCGUAGACGACCUGCGAGAGGGAUCGUCGACACUGGGACUGAGACACCGUCCAGACUGCUACGGGGGGCAGCAGUAGGGAAUCGUCCGCAAUGGGCGAAAGCCUGACGGAGCAACGCGGCGUGGGUUAUGAGGGCCUUCGGAUCGGAAAGCUGUGUUAUUAGGGAAGAACAAAUUUGUAAGUAACUAUGCACGUCUUGACGGUACCUAGUCAAAAAGCCACGGCUAACUACGUG